UACGUAGGUGACAAGCGUUGUCCGGAAUUACUGGGUGUAAAGCGCGUGUAGGCGGCAGACCAAGUCGGCGGUGAAAGCGCCCGGCUCAACUGGGCGAGGUCCGUGGAAACUGGUCAGCUGGAGGACGGUAGAGGCGAGUGGAAUUCCCGGUGUAGUGGUGAAAUGCGUAGAGAUCGGGAGGAACACCUGUGGCGAAGGCGGCUCGCUGGGCCGGUCCUGACGCUGAGACGCGAAGGCGUGGGGAGCGAACGGG
Molecule: ribosomal RNA, 253 nt
Filed under: uncultured bacterium
Lineage: Bacteria
Description: partial 16S ribosomal RNA
Rfam family: Bacterial small subunit ribosomal RNA
Source: RNAcentral